This 203-nucleotide unclassified non-coding RNA is filed under the name uncultured Sebacina. RNAcentral describes it as "sequence contains ITS2". Lineage: Eukaryota; Fungi; Basidiomycota; Agaricomycetes; Sebacinales; Sebacinaceae. The record is from RNAcentral.
GUACUCUCACACUUCCAAUUCCUUUGGAUUGGGAGCGGUGGACUUGGGCGUUGCUGCUUGACUGUGGCUCACCUGAAAUACGUUAGUGCACCUCUUGAUUGGACAUAGUACGGCGUGAUAAGUGUCUUCGCCGGCUCCUCGCAAUGAGGGUGGCCGAUCGGGAGCUCUGUUGCUUCAAACUGUCUUCGGACAAUCUUCUGACA